CGUAACAAGGUCUCCGUUGGUGAACCAGCGGAGGGAUCAUUACUGAGUUACCGCUCUAUAACCCUUUGUGAACAUACCUAUACGUUGCUUCGGCGGGCCGUCCCCCGGGGCGUCCGCCGGAGGAUAACCAAACUCUGAUUUAACGACGUUUCUUCUGAGUGGCACAAGCAAAUAAUCAAAACUUUUAACAACGGAUCUCUUGGUUCUGGCAUCGAUGAAGAACGCAGCGAAAUGCGAUAAGUAAUGUGAAUUGCAGAAUUCAGUGAAUCAUCGAAUCUUUGAACGCACAUUGCGCCCGCCAGCAUUCUGGCGGGCAUGCCUGUUCGAGCGUCAUUUCAACCCUCAAGCACUGCUUGGUGUUGGGGCUCUACGGUUGACGUAGGCCCCCAAAACUAGUGGCGGACCCUCUCGGAGCCUCCUUUGCGUAGUAACUUUUGUCUCGCACUGGGAUUCGGAGGGACUCUAGCCGUUAAACCCCCCAAUUUUCUAAAGGUGACCUCGGAUCAGGUA
Molecule: ribosomal RNA, 510 nt
Filed under: Colletotrichum crassipes
Lineage: Eukaryota; Fungi; Ascomycota; Sordariomycetes; Glomerellales; Glomerellaceae
Description: eukaryotic LSU rRNA
Rfam family: 5.8S ribosomal RNA (bases 180-333)
Source: RNAcentral